GUCCACGCUGUAAACGAUGAAUACUAGGUGUGGGUGGUCUCAAAAUCAUCCGUGCCGAAGCAAACGCGCUAAGUAUUCCGCCUGGGGAGUACGGCCGCAAGGCUAAAACUCAAAGGAAUUGACGGGGCCCGCACAAGCAGCGGAGCGUGUGGUUUAAUUCGAUGCUACACGAAGAACCUUACCUGGGUUUGACAUGCACGUAGUAGUGAAACGAAAGUGGAACGACUCUUCGGAGAGCGUGCACAGGUGCUGCAUGGCUGUCGU
RNAcentral lists this ribosomal RNA (264 nucleotides) under uncultured bacterium. RNAcentral describes it as "partial 16S ribosomal RNA". It matches the Rfam family "Bacterial small subunit ribosomal RNA", at positions 793 to 1055 of the family's 1533-position model. The record is from RNAcentral.